This is a long non-coding RNA of Hibiscus syriacus, 221 nucleotides long. RefSeq lists it as uncharacterized. The record is from RefSeq and is a predicted model, not a curated record. Lineage: Eukaryota; Viridiplantae; Streptophyta; Magnoliopsida; Malvales; Malvaceae. The transcript is spliced from 2 exons.
GUUUCAAUCUUAUCUCUCCCACUGCGUAUCAUAUCAAAGCCGCCCUGUUGCUUUUGCUUCUUAACAUUUAAAUUUCUACAAAAACCAGCAAAUGAUACCUGAUUUCUGUAAGGGUAAAUAUAAUCUGCACUCAAUUCUAUGUAUUUGCACUUCAUGAUCCCGGCAGGACCUCCCCUAAAACCAUACAAAAUGCUACCUUUCGCGCGAUCCUGCAAGUAAUC